This is a non-coding RNA of Ostertagia ostertagi, 70 nucleotides long. The record is from the annotation of a GenBank genome assembly. Lineage: Eukaryota; Metazoa; Nematoda; Chromadorea; Rhabditida; Trichostrongylidae.
ACAUGUGGUCUAGUGGGUAGGAUUCGUGGGUUUCACCCAAGCAGCCCGGGUUCGAUUCCCGGCCGAUGCA